AGAAUCAACGCUGGCGGCGUGCCUAACACAUGCAAGUCGAACGAGAAAGUGGAGCAAUCCAUGAGUAAAGUGGCGACCGGGUGAGUAACACGUGACUAACCUACCUUCGAGUGGGGGAUAACAUCGGGAAACCGAUGCUAAUACCGCAUAACAUCGCAAGAUCAAAGCAGCAAUGCGCUGGAAGAGGGGGUCGCGGCUGAUUAGCUAGUUGGCGGGGUAACGGCCCACCAAGGCGAAGAUCGGUAGCCGGCCUGAGAGGGCGCACGGCCACACUGGAACUGAACACGGUCCAGACUCCUACGGGAGGCAGCAGUGGGGAAUUUUGCGCGAAUGGGGGAAACCUGACGCAGCAACGCCGCGUGGAGGAUGAAGCCCUUGGGGUGUAACUCCUUUCGACCAAGACGAUAAUGACGGUACUGGUGGAAGAAGCGACCGGCUAACUCUGCGCCAGCAGCCGC
RNAcentral lists this ribosomal RNA (458 nucleotides) under uncultured bacterium. RNAcentral's name for it is "SSU rRNA". It matches the Rfam family "Bacterial small subunit ribosomal RNA", at positions 26 to 518 of the family's 1533-position model. The record is from RNAcentral.